RNAcentral lists this unclassified non-coding RNA (342 nucleotides) under soil metagenome. RNAcentral describes it as "partial contains 5.8S ribosomal RNA, internal transcribed spacer 2, and large subunit ribosomal RNA". The stretch from base 1 to 120 matches the Rfam family "5.8S ribosomal RNA", at positions 35 to 154 of the family's 154-position model. The record is from RNAcentral.
GAUGAAGAACGCAGCGAAAUGCGAUAAGUAGUGUGAAUUGCAGAAUUCAGUGAAUCAUCGAAUCUUUGAACGCACAUUGCGCCCUUUGGUAUUCCAAAGGGCAUGCCUGUUCGAGCGUCAUUUGUACCCUCAAGCUUUGCUUGGUGUUGGGCGUCUUGUCUCUAGCUUUGCUGGAGACUCGCCUUAAAGUAAUUGGCAGCCGGCCUACUGGUUUCGGAGCGCAGCACAAGUCGCACUCUCUAUCAGCAAAGGUCUAGCAUCCAUUAAGCCUUUUUUUUCAACUUUUGACCUCGGAUCAGGUAGGGAUACCCGCUGAACUUAAGCAUAUCAAUAAGCGGAGGA